RNAcentral lists this long non-coding RNA (506 nucleotides) under Chlamydomonas reinhardtii. Its description in RNAcentral is "long non-coding RNA (CREI_LNC001018)". Lineage: Eukaryota; Viridiplantae; Chlorophyta; Chlorophyceae; Chlamydomonadales; Chlamydomonadaceae. The record is from RNAcentral.
UCGACGCUCGAACUGCUGUGUAGAGCACGCAAGGGUAGGCGGCGUGAGGAACUCAGUGCAUUAAAACAGUUGUGGGUGCAGCGCAACUGCGCGAGGCCGCAAAAGCGAGUGUCAUCAGCUUCUGUCGCUGAACUUUAUGUUCGGCACCUUUCGCUCAGCCCUGUGAGCGCGCGCAUGCCUCUGCGAAGGCAAGGGAACGUGUCAGUUGUUGCCGAUACUCGGGAAUUGUCCUCGCGUCCUGUCAUCCCGCGCCCACCCCAAGGCCUGGGAGCUUCUAACCUCCGUGGCCUAGCCAUACAAGUAAUAGUCCAGCAGUCCUACAACACGAGCCAAUCACUAGGAGUCAACAACAACUACAACUCACAUAUUCUCGGCCCACUGGGCCCACCUGAACGUAAGAACUCUCCUCGCACGCGUCUUGACGCAGCCGUUUGGCAGAUACACGGCCAGCUCGUAGGCCUCGACUAUUUUCCGGGCAAAGAGUAUUCUAGAGUCGACCAACUAGG